GGCUGAAAUUACGCCUUCAUGAAGCUGGAAUUGCUAGUAAUGGCAGGUCAGCAUACUGCCGUGAAUACGUUCCCGGGCCCUUGUACACACCGCCCGUCACACCAUGAGAGUUGGAAAUACCCGAAGCCUGUGAGCUAACUGUAAAGAGGCAGCAGUCGAAGGUAGAGCCAAUGAUUGGGGUGAAGUCGUAACAAGGUACC
Molecule: ribosomal RNA, 200 nt
Filed under: uncultured bacterium
Lineage: Bacteria
Description: partial 16S ribosomal RNA
Rfam family: Bacterial small subunit ribosomal RNA
Source: RNAcentral